CAGUAGCCGCGGGAAUACCGAGGGUGCGAGCGUUAAUCGGAUUUACUGGGCGUAAAGCGUGCGUAGGCGGCUUUUUAAGUCGGAUGUGAAAUCCCUGAGCUUAACUUAGGAAUUGCAUUCGAUACUGGGAAGCUAGAGUAUGGGAGAGGAUGGUAGAAUUCCAGGUGUAGCGGUGAAAUGCGUAGAGAUCUGGAGGAAUACCGAUGGCGAAGGCAGCCAUCUGGCCUAAUACUGACGCUGAGGUACGAAAGCAUGGGGAGCAAACAGGAUUAGAUACCCCUGUAGUCCCUGUCUCUUAUAU
Molecule: ribosomal RNA, 301 nt
Filed under: uncultured bacterium
Lineage: Bacteria
Description: partial 16S ribosomal RNA
Rfam family: Bacterial small subunit ribosomal RNA
Source: RNAcentral